GAUGAAGAACGUAGCGAAAUGCGAUAAGUAAUGUGAAUUGCAGAAUUCAGUGAAUCAUCAAAUCUUUGAACGCACAUUGCGCUUCCUGGUAUUCCGGGGAGCAUGCCGUUUCAGAAUCAUGAAAAUCUCACAAACCUGGUGUUUUUCGACAUUGGGUUGGUGGAUUUGGAUGUUUUGCCGUUAUUGCAAACAUCUUUAUUUGAUUGUGUGUGCACCGAUUGCUCAGUCAGUUGGUAUCCAAAGUGCAACAGAUUUUUCUAUUUCACUGGGGAUGUCCGGUUGAUUGGCUUGGAGCGUGCUCUCAAGCUUUAUACGGUGGCUGCAACGUUAGGGGCAGUCAUUGAUAACUUGGUCUGAAAUCGGGCAAGAAAACCCGCUGAACUUAAGCAUAUCAAUAAGCGGAGGA
Molecule: unclassified non-coding RNA, 406 nt
Filed under: soil metagenome
Description: partial contains 5.8S ribosomal RNA, internal transcribed spacer 2, and large subunit ribosomal RNA
Rfam family: 5.8S ribosomal RNA (bases 1-119)
Source: RNAcentral